GGGCCCGAGGAAAGAGAACAGAUACGGUCAGUAUGAAGGGGGAAAGUAGACUGCGAUGGCUCAUUAAAACAGUUAUAGUUUAUUUGAUACAUUAAAUGGAUAACUGUAGAAAAACUAGAGCUAAUACAUGCCGAGACCACAAGGUUGUAUUUAUUAGAUAUUGUAAUUAAGAUGAAUCAUAAUAACUUCACAAAUUCCUCGACAUCAUCGAGAUAAAUCAUCCAAGUUACUGCCCUAUCAGCUUUCGAUGGUAGUGUAUUGGACUACCCCUCCCCGCGACCCGUAACAGGGAAUUAGGGUUCUUUUCUUUUUAAGGAGCCUGAGGAACGGCCUCCCCCCUCUACGGAAGGCAGCAAGCGCGUAAAUUACCCAAUCCUGACUCAGGGAGGUGGAGAUUUUAUUUAACAACGCAAUUUCAUUGUGAUUGUAGUGAGGGUAUUCCAAUCUAACCACUAGUACGAUUAAAGGGAAGUCUGGGGGCAGCACCGCGGUAAUCCAGCUCUAUACGUAAAUAAAGUUGCUGAGUUAAAAGCUCGUAUUGAUUUCAGGAACCGAUUCUCCGGAAAGUGCCUACUACCCUUCCGCGGUCUGUGAGAAAUAAAUGUUAAGCAGCUUUGCAAAUCUUACUGAAAGAUAGUCAAUCUGGUAUUCAUUCGUAAAAACGUGGGCUGUUAAUCCAAGGAAUUGUUUUAAACACGAUUCCGGUCUUCUACAAAGAAAAAACGGCUCUAUCCAGGAGAGACUCAUUAAAUUGGGGUAUAA
Molecule: ribosomal RNA, 762 nt
Filed under: uncultured rumen protozoa
Lineage: Eukaryota
Description: bacterial SSU rRNA
Rfam family: Eukaryotic small subunit ribosomal RNA
Source: RNAcentral